UGAAUUUAUAGGAUAUCCUCUAUUAAUAACUUAUUAAUUUACUUAAACUAUGAUACAGAUAAAACAUAUGUUUCAUAAAAUAUAUCUUAUUUUGUCAAAUGAAUAAUAAUAAAAACACACUAAACACAAAAAUUUGUGUACUUAUCAGUGCACACAAAUUUACUCUAACACGGGAAAUUAGGCAACAGUACGGAAAAGAUUGUUUUAUUGACAUGAACUGUGUUCAUCAUUCAAAGAUGUGCCAACCAGGGCGUAACACAUUCUUCUUGAAGAAAAUACCGAAAGUUGAAUGGUUAACUCAAAGUUUUUCCUUAUAACAAAAUUUCUGAGACAAUGCUAUAACGAUUUCAUGCAAUGCCGGAUAAUGCUAAACGUGAUAGGUCUGUAAUUAUAAAAAUACUUAAG
RNAcentral lists this long non-coding RNA (405 nucleotides) under Androctonus crassicauda. Lineage: Eukaryota; Metazoa; Arthropoda; Arachnida; Scorpiones; Buthidae. The record is from RNAcentral.